GAUUCUCCGCUGUAUUUUGUUAUCCCAGUCGAAAUCGCGUUGGAAAUUUUUUGGGUGUUUGUGAGAUAUUUGGUCAGUGAUGAUUUCGAUCAAAGUCGAGUGUUGAUCUGAGACCUUUAUCACCGCUAACUGGUUGCAUCUUCACUACUUGGACGUUUUGGGUUGGUUUUCCGACGUCCUCGACUCGAUUCCGGCGAGACUUCAGAU
Molecule: long non-coding RNA, 207 nt
Filed under: Nicotiana benthamiana
Lineage: Eukaryota; Viridiplantae; Streptophyta; Magnoliopsida; Solanales; Solanaceae
Description: long non-coding RNA (NBEN_LNC008704)
Source: RNAcentral